This 457-nucleotide ribosomal RNA is filed under the name uncultured eukaryote. Its description in RNAcentral is "partial 18S ribosomal RNA". It matches the Rfam family "Eukaryotic small subunit ribosomal RNA", at positions 592 to 976 of the family's 1831-position model. The record is from RNAcentral.
CAAUAGCGUAUAUUAAAGUUGUUGCAGUUAAAAAGCUCGUAGUCUAAGCGAUUUGGCCUUUUCCCUUCUUAAUUGAGGGGAUUUGCCUGUGUUUUUUGGGGGAUGAUGUGGGUGGGCUUCAUUGUCUGCUCCGUCUAUCUCCUGUUGCACAGGGGGCCAAAUUUGUACUUCGGAGGACCAUCCUCGGGGGGUCAAACCUCUGGGGAAUCAAUGGGAUUCCGAUAGUUUACUUUGAGAAAAAUAGAGUGUUCAAAGCAGGCGAUUUUUUGCCCUUGAAUACGUUAGCAUGGGAUAAUGAAAUAGGACACCGGUUCUCUUUCUUCGAUGGUUUGAAGGACUGAUGUAAUGAUUAAUAGGGACAGUUGGGGACAUUCAUAUUCCAUGGCUAGAGGUGAAAUUCUUGGAUUCAUGGAAGAUGAACUACUGCGAAAGCAUUUGUCAAAGAUGUUUUCAUUGA